RNAcentral lists this long non-coding RNA (418 nucleotides) under Homo sapiens (human). RNAcentral describes it as "HSALNT0345699". The record is from RNAcentral. Lineage: Eukaryota; Metazoa; Chordata; Mammalia; Primates; Hominidae.
AUCAACCCUUAAAGAAGUGAGGACACACGAUUGGACCAUCUCAUUUGUUAAGGCCCAACUAAACUGCACUUUAAUCAAAUAACACUGAGCAACUACUGGGUGAAUAGAACAAGAAGGUGGAGGAAGUUUGAAUUUGCUCUUUCUCAUUAAAGUGGGUCAUCCAUCCUGUUGCUGCUCUCUGAUAUCAGUGCUUCUGGUUCCCAGGCCUUUGGACUCAGACCAAGACUUACACUAUUUAUAACGCCCAGACCCCCGCCAGGUUCUCAGGCCUUCAGACUUGGACUUGGACUUAAACCAUUGGUUCUCUGGGUUCUUGGGCCUUUGUCCUUGGAUUGUAAAUGCACCAACUGCUUUCCUGGGCCCCCAGCUUGCAGAUGACAGAUCAUGGAACUUCUCAAUCUCCAUAACUGUGUAAGCC